This 253-nucleotide ribosomal RNA is filed under the name uncultured bacterium. Its description in RNAcentral is "partial 16S ribosomal RNA". It matches the Rfam family "Bacterial small subunit ribosomal RNA", at positions 524 to 776 of the family's 1533-position model. The record is from RNAcentral.
UACAGAGGGGGCAAGCGUUGUUCGGAAUUACUGGGCGUAAAGGGCGCGUAGGCGGCCUUCUAAGUCGAACGUGAAAUCCCCGGGCUCAACCUGGGAACUGCGUCCGAUACUGGAUGGCUUGAAUCCGGGAGAGGGAUGCAGAAUUCCAGGUGUAGCGGUGAAAUGCGUAGAUAUCUGGAGGAAUACCGGUGGCGAAGGCGGCAUCCUGGACCGGCAUUGACGCUGAGGAGCGAAAGCCAGGGGAGCAAACGGG